Pelobates cultripes (western spadefoot toad) is the source of this 227-nucleotide non-coding RNA. NCBI's taxonomy places the organism in Eukaryota, Metazoa, Chordata, Amphibia, Anura, Pelobatidae. The record is from the annotation of a GenBank genome assembly.
CGGACUUACUGGCUCUCUCUCAAGACCAUCCGCUGCUCCUUCCAUGGUCUCCCCUCCUCCUAAUGAACUCACAAGGAGAAUCUCAUCUGCUGAUACUACAGGACAGUGUGGAGCUGGUGGCCUGAAGUCUUUCAGGAGAUCUUGGUCAGUUGAGGACCUAUCGCAAUCGACUAGAGACCUCUAAUGGGACUCAUGGGCUCAAGGAACUAGACAUAGCUACAUCUCUG